Molecule: ribosomal RNA, 496 nt
Filed under: uncultured bacterium
Lineage: Bacteria
Description: partial 16S ribosomal RNA
Rfam family: Bacterial small subunit ribosomal RNA
Source: RNAcentral
AUGAACGCUGGCGGCGUGCCUAAUACAUGCAAGUCGAGCGAACAGACGAGGAGCUUGCUCCUCUGACGUUAGCGGCGGACGGGUGAGUAACACGUGGAUAACCUACCUAUAAGACUGGGAUAACUUCGGGAAACCGGAGCUAAUACCGGAUAAUAUAUUGAACCGCAUGGUUCAAUAGUGAAAGACGGUUUUGCUGUCACUUAUAGAUGGAUCCGCGCCGCAUUAGCUAGUUGGUAAGGUAACGGCUUACCAAGGCAACGAUGCGUAGCCGACCUGAGAGGGUGAUCGGCCACACUGGAACUGAGACACAGUCCAGACUCCUACGGGAGGCAGCAGUAGGGAAUCUUCCGCAAUGGGCGAAAGCCUGACGGAGCAACGCCGCGUGAGUGAUGAAGGUCUUCGGAUCGUAAAACUCUGUUAUUAGGGAAGAACAAAUGUGUAAGUAACUAUGCACGUCUUGACGGUACCUAAUCAGAAAGCCACGGCUAACUACGUG